This 13084-nucleotide ribosomal RNA is filed under the name Triticum aestivum (bread wheat). RNAcentral's name for it is "partial small subunit ribosomal RNA". The record is from RNAcentral. Lineage: Eukaryota; Viridiplantae; Streptophyta; Magnoliopsida; Poales; Poaceae.
AAAGUCUCCCACCGCGGUGGCGGCGCCGUCGGCAGUCGCCGACGAUCGGCGGCGGCGGCGGAGAUGUUGGAGGACCAGGUCGCCUUCCUGCUGCAGAAGUACCUCGGCAACUACGUCCGGGGGCUCAGCAAGGAGGCCCUCAAGAUCAGCGUCUGGAGAGGUGAUGUGGAACUCACAAACAUGCAGUUGAAGCCUGAGGCGCUCAAUUCAUUGAAGUUACCUGUGAAAGUCAAAGCUGGUUUCCUUGGUUCAGUUAAGCUCAAGGUCCCUUGGAGCAGACUUGGCCAAGAGCCAGUUUUGGUUUAUCUUGAUCGUAUUUUUAUAUUAGCUGAACCAGCAACAGAUGUUGAAGGUUGCAGUGAGGAUGCUGUCCAAGAGGUCAAACGAACUAGAGUUAGGGAGAUGGAAAUGAAAUUAUUGGAGAGCCAGCAACAACUGAACUCCGAACUGAACUCGUCAUGGCUUGGGUCUUUCAUUAGCACUGUGAUUGGAAACAUCAAGUUAUCCAUUGGCAAUAUUCACAUCAGAUACGAAGACAUAGAGAGCAAUCCAGGCCACCCUUUCGCAGCAGGUUUGGUACUUUCGAAGCUGUCAGCAGUUACUGUGGAUGACCAUGGGAAGGAAACUUUUGCCACUGGUGGAGAUUUGGACCGAGUGAAGAAGUCUGUUGAACUUGAGAGUCUGGCGCUGUAUUUUGAUUCUGAUAGCAGUCCUUGGAGCGUGGAUAAACCCUGGGAAGAUUUACUGCCUUCAGAAUGGAGUCAGGUUUUUGAGUUCAGAAAGCAAGAUAGUUCUAGUACUGCUUCAAAAACUCACACUUACAUAUUAAGACCUAUAUCUGGCAAAGCAAAAUAUACAAAGGUACACAUUGAUGAAGCGAAGAGAAGCGGACAGGCAUUGCAAAAUGCUGCUGUUGAUUUGGAUGAUGUUACUUUGUCUUUGUCAAAGGAUGGCUACAGGGACAUCUUGAAGAUGGCUGAUAAUUUUUCUUCUUUUAAUCAACGGCUGAGAUAUGCUCAUUACCGGCCAUCUUUACCAGUGAAAUCUGAUCCGAAGGCUUGGUGGAAGUACGCAUACAAAGUAGUGACUCAUGAAAUGAAGAAGGCAAGUGGAAGUCUAUCUUGGGAGCAACUACUGAGAAACGCAAGACUUCGAAAGACAUAUGUAUCUUUAUAUGCGUCCCUUCUGAAGUCUGACAUGAGUCGUCCGGUUGUUGAAGAUAAUGAGGAGAUUAAUAGCCUGGAUCGUGAACUAGAUAUGGAAGUUAUUCUGCAAUGGAGGAUGCUGGCCCACAAGUUUGUAGAACAGUCAGCAGAAAGACAGCAUGCUCAACAAAACAAGAAGCAGUCCUGGUGGUCAUUUGGAUGGACUGGCUCUUCGAAGGAUGAUGGAGACUCGAAGAGUUUUAGUGAUGAAGAUUGGGAAAGGUUAAAUAGGAUAAUCGGGUACAAAGAAAAUACGGAGUAUAUUCCUGCUCAACAAGAUAUGAAAUUGAUGCAGUUUUAUUUUGAAAUACGCAUGAAACAUAAUGCAUCAAGGCUUAUCAUUGAUGGUUCAGAGUGCCUUGCUGAUCUUUCAUGUGAAGAUUUCCGCUGUAACUUGAAAAUGUAUCCAGAGGCAAAAGUUUUUGACCUGAAGCUUGGUUCCUACAAACUUUUAUCUCCAUAUGGCCUGCUGGCUGAGAGUGCAAGUGUUGUUGAUUCCCUUGUUGGUGUCUUCUCCUACAAACCUUUCGAUGAGCAACUGGACUGGAGUUUUACAGCCAGGGCUUCUCCUUGUUACAUAACUUAUUUGAAAGAUUCCAUUGACCAAAUCGUUGCCUUCUUCAAGAGUAGCCCUACAGUUAGCCAGACCCUUGCACUGGAGACUGCUGCUGCUGUACAGAUGACAUUAGAUGAAGUGAAACGCACCGCUCAACAGCAAAUGACACGUGUUCUAAAAGAUCAGUCCAGGUUUUCACUGAAUCUGGAUAUCGCUGCUCCUAAAAUUACUGUUCCUACCAAGUUCCGCCCGGAUGAUGUACAUGAGACUAAGCUUUUGCUUGAUCUUGGAAACUUAAUUCUUCGGACAGAGGAGAUAUGGGAUUCAUAUUCUUCAGAAGAGCAGGAUAUGUAUUUGAAUUUCAAUUUGGUGCUCAAUGAUGUAUCUGCAUUUCUGGUGGAUGGUGAUUACCAUUGGAACGACACAUCUAAAGAAGUUAAUUUAUUGCCAGUUAUCGACAAGUGUGGAAUUGCUUUAAAGCUUCAGCAGAUCCAGGUAGAAAGUUCACUAUAUCCUUCCACAAGACUGGCAGUACGGGUGCCUUCCUUGGGGUUUCAUUUCUCUCCGGCACGCUAUCAUCGAUUGAUGGAGAUUUUAAAGAUUUUUCAAGACACCAAUAGUGAGAAUAAUAGUUCAGACCUUGCACAUUUGUGGGAUCAGGCUGACUUUGAGGGAUGGUCUUCUCUUCUUACAUGGAAGGGUGUUGGAAACCGAGAAGCUCUUUGGCAACGAAGAUACUUGCGGCUAGUGGGGCCAUUUCUCUAUGUAUUUGAAAAUCCAGAGUCUACAACAUAUAAGCAAUGGUCCAGUUUAAGUGGGAAGCAAGUUCAUCAGGUUCCUACUGAGCUUACAAAUGGUGUGCAAAAUAUUGUGGCACUGCAUGACUCUGGUCAAGUCAAUCCCAAGAUUCUGGAAGAUACUGGUGCUUUGAUACUGUUGUUUGACAGCGAGGAAACAAGAAAAAUAUGGCAGAACCGCUUGCAGGGUGCUAUAUAUCGUGCAUCGGGUUCUGCCACAGUUUCCAAUUUUCCUGAAGCUGCUUUCACAUCAGAAGCUCGCUCUUUCAAAGGCAGUCUUCCUGAUGUUGUCAACAUAGAAAAAUUGUUUCUUGCUGGUAUUCUUGAUGAACUAAAGAUCUGUUUUUCGUGUGGCUAUGAGAGUAACCACAGGCUAAAAAAAGUACUACUGGCCAAGGAGAGCAGCUUGUUUGAAUUUCGAGCAGUUGGUGGUCAGGUUGAACUCUCAAUGAAGGGUGGCAACCUACUGAUUGGGACUAUUUUGCGGUCACUGGAAAUUGAAGAUCAGUAUUUUUACCCAGGGAGUCCUGUACCAAGGUACUUGGCAAGGUCCUUCAUCAACAGUAUGCAAACCAAAGAAAUCCCCACUCCUGCUCGAAAGAAUAGUUCAGAAACUAAAGGCACCUCACUAAAGAAAAGUGACAGCGAGGAAAGAUUUUUUGAAGCAUCAGAUGAUUUUGACGAAUUUGGAACACCUAUGCUAAAAGAGAGGAGUAUAUCAGAUUAUUUUAGUUCCCAAGAUGUUUUACCUACUGGCCUACCUUCCUUGCAACCCCCUGCAUUUAGUCGAAUUCCUGGUUUGUUACCAGACAGUGAAAUUAAAAUGGUUGGAUUCACUUCAGAAGGAAGUGGUAUUUCUGAUAGUUUUGUGAAAGCUCAGAUUGUUAUAUAUGAUCAGCAGUCUCUCCAGUACAACAACUUGGACACCAGGGUGGUUGUAAGUGUUGCUACUCUAACCUUCUUUUGUCAUCGGCCAACUGUCCUUGCAAUCAUGGAAUUUAUGAAUGCUAUCAAUCUUGCAAAUGACCCUGAUAGCGAUAAAGAUAGAAACACAGAUGAUAUGAAGUCUGAUAAUGUUAUCGAGGAGCCUAAAUCUGAUCUGGAGUCAGAACCUGUCAUAAAAAGGUUGCUGUCUAAAGGUAAAAGCAGAGUAGUUUUUCAUCUUACAUCAAGCAUGGCAGAGGCACAAGUAUUACUUAUGAAUGAAAAUGGUGAUCUACUUGCUACUUUGUCACAAAAUAACCUCUCAACUGAUAUCAAGGUGUUCACAUCCUCAUUCAGUAUAAAGGCUGCACUUGGAAACCUCAAAAUAAGUGAUGAUAGUCUUCGUAGCAACCAUCCUUACUUUUGGGUCUGUGAUAUGCGAAAUCCAGGAGGAUCUUUUGUGGAGAUCGACUUCUGUUCAUACAGUGUUGGUGAUGAAGACUACUGUGGGUAUGACUACAGUCUUGUAGGGAAGCUCUCUGAAGUUAGAAUUGUUUAUCUUAACCGUUUUGUUCAAGAGCUUACUGGUUAUUUCAUGGGUCUUGUCCCUAAAAGUAAUGAUGGUGUCGUAAAGCUAAAAGACAAUGUAACUAACUCAGAGAAGUGGGUUAGCAAAACUGAUAUGGAAGGAUCGCCUGCCCUCAAGCUGGAUGUUUCUUUCAGUAGACCUAUAAUUGUUAUGCCUCAUGAUACUAAUAGUCAUGACUUCUUGGAGCUUGAUGUCCUGUACAUAACAAUCCAAAAUGAGUUCCAAUGGAUAGGUGGUGACAAGAAUGAGAUGGGUGCUGUCCACUUGGAAAUUUUAACAGUUACAGUAAAAGACAUAAAUUUAACCAUUGGUAUGGAUAUGGUGCGGGGUGAAACUAUAAUACAGGAUGUGAAAGGUCUCUCCGUUGAGAUUCAUCGAUCAUUGCGUGAUCUGAUGCACCAGUUGCCAGUGGUGGAGGCAGCAAUUAAGGUGGAUGUCCUGAAAGCAGCAUUAUCCAAUCGGGAAUAUGAAGUUAUAUCUGAAUGUGCGGCGUCAAACUUUGCUGAGGCACCACAUAUUGUGCCUGCUCUGGAUGGCCCUCGAGAUGGAACUUCCACAUCGGAAUCUCAUGUUUCUGCAUCUUCUGUUUCUUCUGGAAGUAUUCAGGACCUGUCCCAAGAUACAGAAACAUGGAUAGCAAAUAAAUUUUCUGUUUCAAUAAAUCUGGUCGAGCUUUCUCUGCAUUCAGGAUCAACAAGGGAUUCCCCUCUGGCUAGCGUGCAGGCAAGUGGUGCUUGGCUUCUCUAUAAAUCAAAUACACGGGAGGAGAGUUUCCUUUUCGCGACACUCAAAGGCUUUUCUGUUUUUGAUGACCGUGAAGGAACAAAAGAUGAGUUAAGGCUUGCCAUUGGGAAAUCAGCAACAGUCAGAGACACAUCAUCUGCUGAUGGGUAUGAUAACCCUAAUGAACUUGAUUCAGGUGAACGAAGGAUACAAAAGGAUCUAGGCCUCGAGCCAAUCCCCUCGAUGCUCAUUUUUGAUGCCAUCUUGCGAAAAUCCUCGUCUUCUGUCUCCGUAUGCGUUCAGCGACCCAAGUUUCUUGUGGCUCUUGACUUCUUACUAGCAAUAGUCGAGUUCUUUGUGCCAUCUGCGCGCAGCCUGUUAUCCAAUGACGAAGACAAGGACCUUCUACACAUGAUAUCUCCAGUGGUGUUCACUGAUAAAGUUUAUUACCAGGAGGAUUCAACUUUUAGUCUUUCACCUCAGAAACCUCUGAUUGUUGAUAAUGAAAAGUUUGAGCACUUUAUCUAUGACGGAAAUGGUGGUAAAUUAUAUUUGCGGGAUAGAGAGGGGGAGAUUCUUUCAAGCCCUAGUGCUGAAAGUUUCAUCCAUGUGCUCGGUGGUAAGACAUUGCAAUUUCGAAAUGUCAAGAUAGUGAAUGGUGAGUAUCUGGACUCCUGUGUAUCUCUUGGCAGUGAUUGCUGGUACUCAGCAUCAGAAGAUGACCAUGUCUACCUAGUAAGAGAAAAUGCGCCCGGAAAGGAGGGCCUCCAGUCAAUUCUUAAUGAGGAAAUUCCGGAAGGCAUUGCUGAAAAUGAAAGUUCUGACAGAUCAACAGAAUUCAUAAUUGAACUACAGGCUAUUGGACCAGAGCUUACAUUCUACAGCACAUCAAGGAAUGCUGGUGAAAAUGUGGCGCUAUCGACAAAGGUUAUUCAUGCCCGUACAGAUGCAUUUUGCAGGCUUGUAAUGAAGGGCGACAGUAUGGAUAUGAGUGGACACAUACUUGGUUUAAAGAUGGAGAGUAAUGGCAUCAGAGUCAUAGAACCCUUUGACAUGUCCAUGAAAUACUCAAAUGCAUCUGGAAAAACAAAUUUGCAUCUGCUGGUUUCUGAAAUAUAUAUGAAUUUUUCCUUCAGUAUUCUGAGACUAUUUUUAGCUGUUCAGGAAGAAAUUUCAGCAUUUCUCAGGAUGUCAUCAAAGAAAAUGUCAAUGAUGUGUUCUCAGUUCGAUAAAGUUACAACUAUGCAGGGCAAUGUGAAGGAUGAAGUUUACUCUUUUUGGCGACCACGUGCUCCAUCUGGAUAUGCCAUUUUCGGCGAUUUCCUCACCCCAAUGAAUGACCCCCCAACUAAAGGAGUCCUUGCUUUGAACACAAACGUUGCAAGAGUGAAAAGGCCUUUAUCAUAUAAGCUAAUCUGGCAAUCUGGUUCUGCAACAAAUGAACUUCAUCAUGACAACAAAGAUACAAAAAAUAGUCUCUCUAUGAUUGACCAGCUAUGCUCUGUUUGGUUACCUGUAGCGCCUGCGGGCUAUGUUGCCUUGGGUUGUGUAGUUUCAGCUGGAACUGCUGAACCACCUUUGUCUGCAGUUUUUUGUUUAACUGCUUCCUUGAUUUCUUCAUGUGGUCUAAGGGAUUGUAUUGCACUGAGGGGUAAUACUAAUACGUCAUUUUGGCGCGUUGAUAAUGCUUUUGGUACCUUUUUACCGGGGGAUCCUGCUAAUGUCAGUGUGCAUCCAAAUGCUUACGAUCUUCGCCACAUGCUAUUCAAUAGUGCGGAUUCAUCUUCGAAGAAUAGCUCUAAAGGGAAAGAUAGUCGGAAUGAUGAUGCCUCUCAGAUAGAGAGAUCGGCGUUGACUUCAGGUCGGCUGUUUGAAGCAGUAGCAAGCUUCAAACUUGUUUGGUCAAACGAUGGAAUGUCUGCGCCAAAAAAGCUCUCAGUAUGGCGUCCAAUGAUGUCGGAAGAAAUGUUUUACUUUGGGGACAUCGCUCUUAACGGGUAUGAACCUCCGAAUUCAGCUGUUGUCCUUCGUGAUACUGGUGAAGAUACCUUCCUAAGAGCCCCAGAAAGUUAUAAGAUUGUUGGUCAAAUUAAGAAGCACAGGGGUAGAGAUGGUAUAUCAUUUUAUUAUCCUCAAGCUCCACCUGGUUUUGUUGCUUUAGGAUGUGUUGCAUCUAAAGGUCCACCAACAAAAGAGGAUUUCAGUAUGCUAAGAUGUAUUAGAAGUGAUAUGGUGACGGGAGGUCAAUUUUCUGAGGAAAGCGUAUGGGACUCACGUGGCUCUAAAACAUCUGAAAAUUUUAGUUUAUGGACUGUGGAUGAGGAUGCUGGUACAUUUCUUGUUAGAAGUGAAUUUCGUAAACCUCCAAGAAGACUCGCUCUGAAGCUUGCUGGCCCCCCUAUAUCUAGCAGUUCAGAUAACAUCAUUAUUGAUGCUGUAAUAAAAACGUUCUCUGCUGUUUCCUUUGAUGAUUAUGGAGGAAUGAUGGUGCCAUUAUUUGGCAUAUCUUUUGAUGGUGUUGGAUUUAGUUAUCAUGGGGGUCCUCACCAUCUAAAUGCAACUGUGAGUUUGUCGUUUGUGGCCAGAUCUUAUAAUGACAAGUGUAAUUUGUGGGAGCCCUUCAUUGAACCAACAGAUGGAUUUCUUAGGUACCAGUAUGAUGUGAACACACCAGGUUCUCCUGCGCAACUCCGUAUUACUUCGACACGGGAUCUGAAUUUGAAUGUGUCAGCUUCAAAUACAAACAUGUUAUCACAAGCUUAUCUUAGCUGGAGCAAUAUUACCCUUGGUGAUGAAUUAUACAGGAAGGAAACAUCUUCCCCUACUCAGGGAUCAAUUCUUGAUGUGCAUCAGCGAAGGAACUAUUAUAUUAUUCCACAAAACAAGCUUGGUCAAGACAUAUACGUAAGAACAACUGAAUAUAGGAGCUCAGAUAUUACUCUGUUGCCAUCUGGGGAUGAUAGAUCUAUAAAAGUUCCAGCAUCAAGGGAUCUACUGGAUUCUCAUUUGAAAGGGAAAUCUGCUAGGUUAUAUCGUCUGAUGAUAACUGCUAUUAUCGCAGAUGCUGAGAUCAAUGCUGGUAAAGGGUUAGCAACUGGUGAAUAUAUGACAGCAGUGCGGCUCUAUUCAGAAGGUAGUUCUAUAUCUGGUGUUCAGCAACAGAGUGCCCGUACUUGUGCUGCUGCUGGAGAAAGUUCUUCGCAAAUCACAAGAAAAAUGACUUGGAAUGAAAUGUUUUUCUUCAAAGUCGAUUCUGAGGAGAAUUAUGUUCUGGAACUUGUUGUCCUUGAUGCUGGUAGAGGUCAACCCGUUGGUAUUUACUCCGCUCCACUGAAGCAAGUAGUGCAAAAGCUCCCUUCUGCCUCAAGUUCUGACUAUGCAAAAUUUGAACUGACUUUAGGAGAUCUUAUGACAACAAAGGAACAUGAAAUUCUUAAACCAAGUGGAAAAAUAAGAUUUGCGGUGCUUGUUUCUGGUAGGGCUACUGCUAAACAAGGAAGCAGAGCCAGUCCUAACAGAAGCAGGAGUGGGUAUAUACAAAUUAGUCCUUCCAAAGAUGGCCCUUGGACAAACAUGAAGUUGAACUAUGCUGUGCCAGCAGCAUGUUGGAGGUUUGGGGAUUGUGUGAUUGCUAGUGAAGCAACAGUCAAGGAGGGAAACAGAUACGUUGGCAUACGUUCCCUUGUGUCAAUCACCAAUACAACGGAUUUUGCUAUUGAUUUGCGUCUAAAAGGAAGAGAUUCUCAAAGUGCGGGAUCAGACGGCCAGUUAGAGAAUUCUGAUAAAGAUGAUCAAAUAGAAGUUGGUGUGUUGGAGCCUGGUUCCACUAUUCCAGUUCCAUUGUCAGGUCUCUCACAUCCUGGUGUGCUUUAUACAUUGCAACUAAGACCGACCAUUCAUCAUGAACUUGUGCAGCAUUCCUGGAGUGAUGUCCAGGAGAGGCGCAGUCAAACUGAGUUCCGGAAUGAGCAGGUCCUAGAUAUAUGUGUAUCAGAUCUGUAUGAAUCUGAAAACUUACUGUUCUGCUCACAGAUAGAUGGGUCUUCUAGUACUUGUCAAGGAUUAUGGUUUUGCUUGAGUAUAGAAGCCAAGGAGAUAGGCAAAGAUGUCCGAACUGACCCAAUAUACGAUUGGAGUAUAAUUAUCAAAUCCCCAUUAUCGUUGACAUAUUAUCUUCCCAUUCCUGCACAUUACACUGUUAGUGCCAGCCACCUUGAUGAGGAAGAGACGAGUUGCUCCCGGGGCGAGCUAAACCCUGGUGAGGUUGUGAAGGUUCAAAAUGUUGAUCCAAGAAAUCCUUUGUACCUGUCCCUUGUUCCACAUGGGGGAUGGGAAUCAGUACAUGAGCCUGUUCCAAUAUCACAUCCCACCGAAGUUCCUUCAAAAUUCAUUAAUCUAAGAAGUUCUUUGUCAGGAAGAGUUGUGCAGAUUAUGCUUGAACAAAGCAGUGAUAAGGACUAUCUGAUGGCAAGGGUUAUCAGAAUAUAUGUUCCGUAUUGGAUAUCAUUUGCAAGAUUGCCUCCACUCACCUUGCAAUUCGUUGAUAUCACUGGAAGAAGAGACAAGAGACGCUAUCUUGCGCGCCCACGUGCAGAAAAAAGUGAUAAACUGCUCUAUGGUAUAGGACAUGAAGAAUUGGUCGACGGAUACACCAUAGCAUCUGGGUUGAAUUUUAAGGGUUUAGGUCUCUCAGCAUGUGUCUCCAGAAAUGGACAACAGUUAGGAGCUCUCAAAGAACUAUCACCUCUUGCUGACAUGGAUGGUACAGUUGAUCUUUCUGCCCAUGAUAAUGAUGGAAAGUGCACACAUGUAUUUCUUUGCUCAAAGCUAUGCUCGUACCAAGCUGUUCCAACAAAGGUUAUCUAUGUACGGCCAUACACAACUUUUACAAACAGGGUUGGCCAAGAUAUGUUCAUAAAACUUAGUGCUGGAGAUGAUCCGAAGGUCCUACAUGCGUACGACAGGAGAGUCUCCUUUUUGUACUCUGAAGUGGGACCUGACAAACUGCAGGUCCGAUUGGAAGAUACUGACUGGUGUCAGCCUCUGGAUAUAGUAAAAGAAGAUACUAUCGUAAUAGCAAUGAGAAAGCAGGACUGUACUCAGAAAUUUGUGAAAGCUGAGAUACGUGGUUAUGAGGAGGGUUCAAGAUUCUUGGUCGUAUUCCGUUUGGAGCCCACAGAUGGGCCGAUCAGGAUCGAGAACAGGACAAGUAAUGCAACUAUUGGUACUCGCCAGUCUGGUUUAGGUGAAGAUACUUGGAUCCAAGUGAAACCACUUUCGACCAGAAAAUAUUCUUGGGAUGAUCCAUAUGGACAGAAAGCCGUUGAUGUUAGCAUACAAAAAGGAGAUGUUACUAGUUUCCAGUAUGUUGACCUUGAAAACCCUGUUGCAAGUUCCACCAGUUUUGGGGAGCACGGCGUCAAGUUCAAUAUAGUUGAGACUGCCGAUGUCACAAUAUUGAAGUUCACCGAUUACCAUAGAAGACAGGAGGGAUCACCUGAAUCUGAACUUGUUGCAUCUACGUUGACGCAAAAUGAGACAGAGACAGGAGCUGGACCCUUGGAGCUUAUUAUUGAACUGGGAGUUGUUGGAGUCUCUUUGAUUGAUCAUAAGCCAAGAGAGCUUUUGUACUUAAAUCUGCAGAAGGUUUUCAUCUCAUACAUGACUGGUUAUGACUCUGGGACCACUAGCAGAUUUAAGUUGAUCAUAGGCCAGUUGCAACUUGAUAAUCAACUGCCGUUGUCCAUAAUGCCUGUUGUUUUGGCAACUGAGAGCAUGCCUGAUUCAAAUCAUCCUGUUUUCAAAGCGAACAUUGCUGUAAGCAAUGUAACUUCGAAUGGUAUUCAAGUCUACCCGCAUGUCUAUAUACGGGUAACUGACCAAACAUGGAGGUUGAAUAUUCAUGAACCUAUUGUUUGGGCACUGGUUGAUUUCUACAACAAUCUUCGCUUUACCGGCACCUCCAGCAGCUCAACUGUCACUGAAGUGGAUCCUGAGAUACGAAUAGAGCUUGUUGAUAUUUCAGAGAUAAGGCUUAAAAUAUCUCUAGAAACUGCACCUACUCAAAGGCCACGUGGCGUCCUUGGUAUUUGGAGUCCUGUCCUAUCGGCUGUGGGCAAUGCACUCAAGAUUCAGGUGCAUCUUAGGAAGGUAAUGCACAAAAGCCGGUUUAUGCGGAAAAGCGCAAUUGUCCCUGCUAUCGUUAACCGAAUCAAAAGAGACCUCAUCCACAAUCCUCUGCACCUUAUAUUUUCUGUGGAUUUUCUUGGAGUGACAAAAUCAACUUUGUCAUCACUCAGUAAAGGAUUUGCGGAGCUCUCUACUGAUGGGCAAUUUCUUCAACUGAGAUCAAAGCAGGGUUGGUCAAGGAGAAUCACUGGCGUUGGUGAUGGACUAGUUCAAGGGACUGAAGCAUUUGCUCAGGGUUUGGCUUUUGGGGUUUCGGGUGUUUUAAGAAAGCCAGUUGAGAGUGCCAGGCAGUAUGGUGUUAUUGGCAUUGCACAUGGUCUUGGUCGUGCCUUUGUGGGGUGCAUUGUUCAACCUUUGAGUGGUGCCCUGGAUUUUUUCUCCUUGACAGUUGAUGGAAUUAGUGCCAGCUUUAUAAAGUGUGUGAAUAUUCUGAAUAACAAGUUUGUUCCUCAGCGGAUUAGAGAUCCUCGUGCUAUUCAUCGAGAUGGUGUGAUAAGAGAGUAUGACAGUUUAGAAGCUUCUGGCCAGAUGGCCCUUUACCUGGCAGAAGCUAGCAGAUAUUUUGCAUGCACAGACUUGUUUCGAGAACCUUCUAAGUAUGCAUGGUCUGAUUACUACGAAGAUCAUUUUAUUGUGCCAAACCAGAGGAUUGCUUUAGUAACCAACAAGAGGGUGAUACUCCUUCAGUGCUUGGAUCUAGAUAAAAUGGACAGGAAACCUUCCAAAAUACUUUGGGAUGUCCCUUGGGAAGAAGUACUUGCAUUGGAACUUGCAAAAGCUGGGUAUCAGAGGCCUUCACAUGUAAUCAUACAUCUGAAGAAUUUUAGGAGGUCUGAGAACUUUGUAAGGCUUAUAAAGUGCAGUGUUGAUGAAGAACGGGAAGCUCAGGCUGUUUUACUUUGUUCUUCAAUACGAAAAAUGUGGAGAUCUCACCAGACAGGCACGAAAGUUGUACCCUUGAAGGUUCCUUCUGGCCUGCGCCCUGUAUAUUUUGCAUCAGAUGAUGAUAGAAGGGAAUCUCAGAGUCCUGCUAGGCCUUUGCUAAGCUCAAGAGGAGCGUCCAGUAAUGUUGAGCAUCGACUUAUAAACCACACAGUUAACUUCCAGAAAAUGUGGAGUAGUGAACAAGAAGUUCGGAGCCGGUGUAAACUUCUUGGGAAGCAGGUUGCAGACGAUGGAAGGAUUUUUAGCAUCUGGAGACCCCUAUGCCCUAGUGGGUAUGUCUCAAUUGGAGAUGUCGCUCAUGUUGGCAUCCAUCCACCACAUUUUGCUGCUAUCUACAAGAAUGUUAACGACAAUUUUGUGCUACCUCUUGGCUAUGACCUGGUUUGGAGAAAUUGCGCCGAGGAUUACAGGAGCCCUGUAUCAUUAUGGCAACCAAGGCCACCUGAGGGAUACGUGGCUCUGGGAUGUGUGGCUGUUUCUGCUUUCGAAGAGCCCCCUCUUGAUUGCGCCUUUUGCGUGAAUGAGAGAUUUGCGGAGGAUGCAGUGUUUGAGGAUCAGAUAGUAUGGGCUUCCUCAGAUGCUUACCCAUGGGGAUGCUACAUUUACCAAGUUCAGAGCAGUUCGCUGCAAUUCAUGGCACUCCGUCUUCCAAAAGAGCAGUCUGAGCAGAAGCCUAAGAAGAUCUUGGAGGCGUAUCUCCAGCGAGCAUCAGAUUAAUGAUCCUAUGAGGCGAAGCAGACAUGCCAUGCAUCGGAGACAUCAGGAGCGGUAUAAUACUCCCUCCGUCCCGACACUAUGAUAGUGUAAAAAAUGAUCUCACAUUUUGGGACGGAGGGAGUAUGAUAUAGGGAAAUGAGAAACUUUGCUAUGCAAAAGAGAAGACUCAGCAAUCUUGCGCAAGAUAGUUUGUCUUUGAUAUGAAAUAUUUUUGUACAGUUUUGGGCGGCAUUAUGUUAUUGAGCAUGGCAUUUUUGCGGGGAGAGAUAAUGUGCUAGCUUGGCUUUGUUUUUCGGCUGUUGCUGGGAUUUGUAUCUCUGCUUGAUGCUUAUCAAAUACAGUGUAAACUAGUAGGUGGGAAUGGCUGUAAGUGUACAUUUUGUAACGCGUUGUUAUAGUGCUCUUUCUACUGUGGUGCUGUUGCUAAGAUUUGAAGUUU